RNAcentral lists this long non-coding RNA (222 nucleotides) under Gossypium barbadense (sea-island cotton). Its description in RNAcentral is "long non-coding RNA (GBAR_LNC009501)". The record is from RNAcentral. Lineage: Eukaryota; Viridiplantae; Streptophyta; Magnoliopsida; Malvales; Malvaceae.
UACUAGUGUAAGUGUGAAUGACUACUCCGGUGUGUCAAGUAGACUGAAGUGUCAAGCGAGGCGAGUCACGUAAGGGCCUAAGCAGAUAAGGCCCUUCCUCUAGCAGUCAGUCUGAUGGCGAAAGGCUAAGUAAUGAAGUAUGCCAAAUCAAAUAUAUACCCGUGCGCCAUACUCCAUAAUAAGUGUCAUACGUGCUAACGACUCCGGUGCUCUCUCUCCUAC